RNAcentral lists this ribosomal RNA (439 nucleotides) under uncultured bacterium. Its description in RNAcentral is "partial 16S ribosomal RNA". It matches the Rfam family "Bacterial small subunit ribosomal RNA", at positions 339 to 795 of the family's 1533-position model. The record is from RNAcentral.
CUACGGGUUGCACCAGUGAGGAAUAUUGCACAAUGGGGGGAACCCUGAUGCAGCAACGCCGCGUGGAGGAUGACGCAUUUCGGUGUGUAAACUCCUUUUAUAUGUCAAGAAAAUGACGGUAGCAUAUGAAUAAGCACCGGCUAACUCCGUGCCAGCAGCCGCGGUAAUACGGAGGGUGCAAGCGUUCCUCGGAAUCACUGGGCGUAAAGGACGCGUAGGCGGGUUGGAAAGUCAGGUGUGAAAUCCUACAGCUUAACUGUAGAACUGCACUUGAAACUUCUAAUCUAGAGUAUGGGAGGGGGAGAUGGAAUUAGUGGUGUAGGGGUAAAAUCCGUAGAUAUCACUAGGAAUACCUAAAGCGAAGGCAAUCUCCUGGAACAUUACUGACGCUAAGGCGUGAAAGCGUGGGGAGCAAACAGGAUUAGAUACCCCAGUAGUC